This 506-nucleotide ribosomal RNA is filed under the name uncultured bacterium. Its description in RNAcentral is "partial 16S ribosomal RNA". It matches the Rfam family "Bacterial small subunit ribosomal RNA", at positions 29 to 523 of the family's 1533-position model. The record is from RNAcentral.
AGUGAACGCUGGCGGUAGGCCUAACACAUGCAAGUCGAACGGCAGCACAGAGGAGCUUGCUCCUUGGGUGGCGAGUGGCGGACGGGUGAGGAAUACAUCGGAAUCUACUCUGUCGUGGGGGAUAACGUAGGGAAACUUACGCUAAUACCGCAUACGACCUACGGGUGAAAGCAGGGGACCUUCGGGCCUUGCGCGAUUGAAUGAGCCGAUGUCGGAUUAGCUAGUUGGCGGGGUAAAGGCCCACCAAGGCGACGAUCCGUAGCUGGUCUGAGAGGAUGAUCAGCCACACUGGAACUGAGACACGGUCCAGACUCCUACGGGAGGCAGCAGUGGGGAAUAUUGGACAAUGGGCGCAAGCCUGAUCCAGCCAUACCGCGUGGGUGAAGAAGGCCUUCGGGUUGUAAAGCCCUUUUGUUGAGAAAGAAAUCCAGCUGGCUAAUACCCGGUUGGGAUGACGGUACCCAAAGAAUAAGCACCGGCUAACUUCGAGCCAGCCGCCGCGGUAA